This 774-nucleotide ribosomal RNA is filed under the name uncultured Neocallimastigales. RNAcentral describes it as "partial large subunit ribosomal RNA". It matches the Rfam family "Eukaryotic large subunit ribosomal RNA", at positions 24 to 620 of the family's 3401-position model. Lineage: Eukaryota; Fungi; Neocallimastigomycota; Neocallimastigomycetes; Neocallimastigales. The record is from RNAcentral.
UAUGUGAUCGUCUCUCGCAUAUCAAUAAGCGGAGGAAAAGAAACUAACAAGGAUUCCCUUAGUAACGGCGAGUGAAGCGGGAAGAGCUCAAAUUUGAAAUCUUCAAGGUUUUACCUUGACGAAUUGUAGUUUAAAGAAGUGUUUUCUGUUGAAGUUUUGGUAAAAGUUCUUUGGAAUAGGACAUCAUAGAGGGUGAGAAUCCCGUAUUUGACCAUUAUUUUCAGCUGUGUGAUACACUUUCAAAGAGUCGGAUUGUUUGGGAAUGCAGUCCAAAAUGGGUGGUAAAUUUCAUCUAAAGCUAAAUAUUGGCGAGAGACCGAUAGCGAACAAGUACCGUGAGGGAAAGAUGAAAAGAACUUUGAAAAGAGAGUUAAACAGUACGUGAAAUUGUCAAAAGGGAAGCGUUUGACACCAGUGUUGUUUUCUCGAAAAUCAAUUAAAAAGAGUUAGAUUUUGUUGUGUAUUGACCUUAACAGCUUGCAUUUCAAUUUUCUUGCUUUUUUUAAUGCACUUUUCGUUUAACAAGUCAACAUCAGUUUCUUUUGUUGUAAAAAGGUCAUUGGAAGGUGGCUUUCUUUUCGGAGAAAGUGUUUAUAGCCUUUGACUCCUGCAAUCGGAGAGACUGAGGUCUGCGGCGUAGAUCCUUCGGGGUUAGAUACAUUUGUGCUAAGUUAUAGCUUUUUAUAGACAACUUGUUGACUAUGAUUAGUCUUGUAGCUUACUCGCUUAUGCUAUUUUACCUACGCUUAGGAUGUUGAAGAUGUAGCACAUCAU